This is a non-coding RNA of Paramuricea clavata, 304 nucleotides long. NCBI's taxonomy places the organism in Eukaryota, Metazoa, Cnidaria, Anthozoa, Malacalcyonacea, Plexauridae. The record is from the annotation of a GenBank genome assembly.
CGGAAUUGAAAUAAUAUACUGAAACUAUACUGUACACAGAUCUUUGUACAUUUGUCUAUCUUUUAUGCAUAGUGUAUAUUAAAUUAAAGGUAUUAUCUAUCUUUGUUCGCGUGGGUUAUAGAUAUCGAGGAUUAAACAAUUCACACGAAUAACAAUAUUCAGGCUUUUCUAACCAAGUCCAAUGAUAACUUUUUUGUGUCAUUAUAAAGCAAAAAUUACCAAUUAAAUACUAGUCAAAUAAAAAUUACCGAUCGGAAAUCACAUUUUCAACAUUUGGGAAUUGGGCGCUGAACAUGUAGCUACU